RNAcentral lists this ribosomal RNA (518 nucleotides) under uncultured bacterium. RNAcentral's name for it is "partial 16S ribosomal RNA". It matches the Rfam family "Bacterial small subunit ribosomal RNA", at positions 355 to 866 of the family's 1533-position model. The record is from RNAcentral.
UGGGGAAUUUUGGACAAUGGGGGAAACCCUGAUCCAGCCAUCCCGCGUGUGCGAUGAAGGCCUUCGGGUUGUAAAGCACUUUUGGCAGGAAAGAAACGUCGCGGGUUAAUACCCCGCGAAACUGGCGGUACCUGCAGAAUAAGCACCGGCUAACUACGUGCCAGCAGCCGCGGUAAUACGUAGGGUGCAAGCGUUAAUCGGAAUUACUGGGCGUAAAGCGUGCGCAGGCGGUUCGGAAAGAAAGAUGUGAAAUCCCAGAGCUUAACUUUGGAACUGCAUUUUUAACUACCGGGCUAGAGUGUGUCAGAGGGAGGUGGAAUUCCGCGUGUAGCAGUGAAAUGCGUAGAUAUGCGGAGGAACACCGAUGGCGAAGGCAGCCUCCUGGGAUAACACUGACGCUCAUGCACGAAAGCGUGGGGAGCAAACAGGAUUAGAUACCCUGGUAGUCCACGCCCUAAACGAUGUCAACUAGCUGUUGGGGCCUUCGGGCCUUGGUAGCGCAGCUAACGCGUGAAGUU